RNAcentral lists this small RNA (884 nucleotides) under Pongo abelii (Sumatran orangutan). RNAcentral's name for it is "transcribed unitary pseudogene". Lineage: Eukaryota; Metazoa; Chordata; Mammalia; Primates; Hominidae. The record is from RNAcentral.
AUGUCUGAAAGCUCCUCAGGUCAAAACACAAGUAGUCAAGAGAUUUGUCCAUCUAAUUCACCAUACUACUCUGAUCCAAGUGAGACCCACACUGGGUCAGCUCCAUCAAGGAGAAGAACAUUCCACCCACGUUUGGAUUCUGGAAUAUCAUCCCUGCUUCCAUCAGAUUCUUGUAAGUACCUCACUUUGCAGAAGGUAGAACAACAUGACAUUCAAGGAAGUCAGCUGUGUUGCCCAAGAGUAAGAGAAGGACCCUCUGAAGAAGAGCAACUUUUCAGACAGGUAGAGUGUGCCUUGCUCCCAAGGAAAAGAGUUCUUGACAAAAACAAAUGGGAAAUAUGGCUACAAGAAAACUGGGAAGACUGCAAGAAUUUGAACAUUUCAUUUCAGGAUUUGGGGGAUCCUUACCAAGUUGAAGAUUUUAACAGAAUUCUUAGAAGACUAAUUCGAGUUGAAACCCUCUGGUUAGUGGAUAAUUCACUGCUGGACUUAAGUGUCAUAAGAUUGCCAAGCUGCAGAAUUUUAAAUAUGAGCAAAAAUCAUCUCACAUCUUUCAAACAAUUACCAAAGAUACCUCAGAUACAGCAUUUAUCCUUGGCCGAAAACCACAUUGAGACUCUUACUGGAUUCUCCAGUUUACGGUGCACUCCACUGGAAUCCCUUAUUCUCAGGAGGAACCCUUGUGAGUUCCACCAAAAUUACAGGAAGCGAUCCUCCAAUAAGAAGACAGCACAAUUUAAAAGAGAAAGGACUUAAUGAUAGAGCUAAUAGUAGUAUUCUCCUGUUUGCCAAACUUAAAAAUGCUGGAUGGAAUCUUGAAGCUACCAGAAGAUUGCUCAUCACCAGAAACCAAUAUUUUUUCAAAAAUAUGCCUAGUAUCCUAA